CUUUUGUUCAUGAGACUCAAGCGCAAGGUGAGUCAUCGAUGUUCCACUUUUCACAUAGAUUUUCUGUGACUGCAUAUUUGUUUUUUAUUUAAACCAAAAAUUACUUUCAGGUUCAUAAUAAUAGUCAUGAAACUGAGUAUUAAAUAUAACAGAAGUGCUUUUAAUGUCACAUCAGAGUUCACCUGCUGAAGUUAAAGUGAGAUGUUUUUACACUGCAGAACUAAAUUCAACGUCUGCGCACAGUGAACCAUCCUCCAUCACCAUACAAACUAUUCUGGAAAGUGAAUCACCAAAGAUCAACAAACCAUCAUCUAUCAUGACCACAGGAGCAGAAUCAAGUCUCAGCAAUCCCAGUACUUCAACUUCUACCACUUCAGUGAACUCACUAUCAGGAUUGGGUGCUCUUAAUCUCAGCGCUACAACUGGUGUGAACACUCCUGCCAAAACAACUCAGUAUAUAACAUCAGGAGACAGAACUACAGAGUUGAAUCUCAGCAGUCCUAAUGCUUCCAGUCCUACCACUUCUGUGAAUUCACCUUCAGAUCCAAAUCAAUCUUCAGAGUCAUAUGAGACUAAUACUAGAGUGACAGUUGCUACGGUCAAAGGUAAGACAAAGUACAGUAAAACAAUAACCAGAAAAGGUCACGUAUUUCAUUUGUUAUUUCAAAAGUAA
Molecule: long non-coding RNA, 673 nt
Filed under: Oreochromis niloticus (Nile tilapia)
Lineage: Eukaryota; Metazoa; Chordata; Actinopteri; Cichliformes; Cichlidae
Description: lncRNA (ENSONIG00000037985.1)
Source: RNAcentral